RNAcentral lists this ribosomal RNA (254 nucleotides) under uncultured bacterium. RNAcentral describes it as "partial 16S ribosomal RNA". It matches the Rfam family "Bacterial small subunit ribosomal RNA", at positions 524 to 776 of the family's 1533-position model. The record is from RNAcentral.
UACAGGGGGGGCAAGCGUUGUUCGGAAUUACUGGGCGUAAAGGGCCAGUAGGCGGCCAACUAAGUCACACGUGAAAUCCCCAGGCUUAACCUGGGAACUGCGUGUGAUACUGGAUGGCUUGAAUUCGGGAGAGGGAUGCAGAAUUCCAGGUGUAGCGGUGAAAUGCGUAGAUAUCUGGAGGAACACCGGUGGCGAAGGCGGCAUCCUGGACCAACACUGACGCUGAGUGAGCGAAAGCCAGGGGAGCAAACGGG